GACGAACGCUGGCGGCGUGCUUAACACAUGCAAGUCGUACGGUAAGGCCCUUUCGGGGGUACACGAGUGGCGAACGGGUGAGUAACACGUGAGUAACCUGCCCACAACUUUGGGAUAACGCUAGGAAACUGGUGCUAAUACUGGAUAUGUGCUCCUGCUGCAUGGUGGGGGUUGGAAAGCUCCGGCGGUUGUGGAUGGACUCGCGGCCUAUCAGCUUGUUGGUGGGGUAGUGGCCUACCAAGGCGGCGACGGGUAGCCGGCCUGAGAGGGUGACCGGCCACAUUGGGACUGAGAUACGGCCCAGACUCCUACGGGAGGCAGCAGUGGGGAAUAUUGCACAAUGGGCGCAAGCCUGAUGCAGCAACGCCGCGUGCGGGAUGACGGCCUUCGGGUUGUAAACCGCUCUCAGCAGGGACGAAGCUUUUUGUGACGGUACCUGCAGAAGAAGCACCGGCUAACUACGUG
Molecule: ribosomal RNA, 465 nt
Filed under: uncultured bacterium
Lineage: Bacteria
Description: partial 16S ribosomal RNA
Rfam family: Bacterial small subunit ribosomal RNA
Source: RNAcentral